UGGCUUAGACAGUAAAGCUUCUGCCUGCAAUGCGGGAGACCCAGGUUCAAUCCCUGG
This 57-nucleotide transfer RNA is filed under the name Bos taurus (domestic cattle). It matches the Rfam family "tRNA", at positions 8 to 63 of the family's 71-position model. Rfam says of the family: Transfer RNA (tRNA) molecules are approximately 80 nucleotides in length. RNAcentral also lists the same sequence under 1 other name. The record is from Rfam by way of RNAcentral. Lineage: Eukaryota; Metazoa; Chordata; Mammalia; Artiodactyla; Bovidae.